Caenorhabditis elegans is the source of this 21-nucleotide non-coding RNA. The record is from Ensembl. NCBI's taxonomy places the organism in Eukaryota, Metazoa, Nematoda, Chromadorea, Rhabditida, Rhabditidae.
UCCUACUAUGGCGUUUAUGAA